Molecule: ribosomal RNA, 428 nt
Filed under: uncultured bacterium
Lineage: Bacteria
Description: partial 16S ribosomal RNA
Rfam family: Bacterial small subunit ribosomal RNA
Source: RNAcentral
GUAGGGAAUAUUGCGCAAUGGACGAAAGUCUGACGCAGCGACGCCGCGUGAGUGAUGAAGGCCUUAGGGUCGUAAAGCUCUGUUGAAUGGGAAGAAAAAAAUGACGGUACCAUUCGAGGAAGGACCGGCUAACUUCGUGCCAGCAGCCGCGGUAAUACGAGGGGUCCUAGCGUUGUUCGGAAUCAGUGGGCGUAAAGGGUGUGUAGGUGGCCAUGUAAGUCAGGUGUGAAAGCCCCGGGCUCAACCCGGGAAGUUCACUUGAUACUGCGUGGCUUGAGUACCAAGGAGGGUAGGGGAAUUCCAGGUGUAGUGGUGAAAUACGUAGAUAUCUGGAGGAACACCGGUGGCGAAGGCGGCUACCUGGUCGAGUACUGACACUGAGACACGAAAGCGUGGGGAUCAAACAGGAUUAGAAACCCGAGUAGUCC